UACGGAGGGAGCUAGCGUUGUUCGGAAUUACUGGGCGUAAAGCGCACGUAGGCGGCUUUUUAAGUCAGGGGUGAAAUCCCAUGGCUCAACCAUGGAAGUGCACCCGAAACUGCGUAGCUAGAGUCCUGGAGAGGAAGGUGGAAUGCUUGGUGUAGAGGUGAAAUUCGUAGAUAUCAAGUGGAACACCGGUGGCGAAGGCGGCCUUCUGGACAGUGACUGACGCAUGAGACG
Molecule: ribosomal RNA, 231 nt
Filed under: uncultured bacterium
Lineage: Bacteria
Description: partial 16S ribosomal RNA
Rfam family: Bacterial small subunit ribosomal RNA
Source: RNAcentral